GGAAGCAUGGCCGAGUGGUUAUGGCGCUAGUUUCAGGUCUUCUGAAAAGAGUCUUGAAGACAAGGUUUACUAGUUGGGCAACCUUCGUGAGUUCGAGUCUCACUGCUUUCA
Molecule: transfer RNA, 111 nt
Filed under: Diplodia corticola
Lineage: Eukaryota; Fungi; Ascomycota; Dothideomycetes; Botryosphaeriales; Botryosphaeriaceae
Description: Botryosphaeria corticola tRNA
Rfam family: tRNA
About the family: Transfer RNA (tRNA) molecules are approximately 80 nucleotides in length. Their secondary structure includes four short double-helical elements and three loops (D, anti-codon, and T loops).
Source: Rfam by way of RNAcentral